Molecule: ribosomal RNA, 618 nt
Filed under: uncultured bacterium
Lineage: Bacteria
Description: bacterial SSU rRNA
Rfam family: Bacterial small subunit ribosomal RNA
Source: RNAcentral
AGUUUGAUCCUGGCUCAGAAUCAACGCUGGCGGCGCGCUUAGCACAUGCAAGUCGAACGAGAAAGGGGAGCAAUCCCUGAGUAAAGUGGCGCACGGGUGAGUAACACGUGGGUCAUGCACCUGUUAGUGGGGAAUAACCCUGGGAAACCGGGGCUACUACCGCAUAAGUCCGGAAGGAGAAAGCCGAAAGGCGCUGACAGAGCAGCCCGCGGCCGAUUAGCUAGUUGGUGGGGUAAUGGCCCACCAAGGCGACGAUCGGUAGCCGGCCUGAGAGGGCACACGGCCACACUGGCACUGAAACACGGGCCAGACUCCUACGGGAGGCAGCAGUGGGGAAUCUUGCACAAUGGGGGAAACCCUGAUGCAGCGACGCCGCGUGAGGAUGAAGCCCUUCGGGGUGUAAAGCUCUUUCGACAGGAACGAUCAUUACGGUACCUGAAGAAGAAGCUGCGGCUAACUACGUGCCAGCAUGCGCGGUAAUACGUAGGCAGCAAGCGUUGUUCGGAAUUACUUGGCGUAAUGUGUGCGUAGGCGGUUGGCUAAGUUUGGUGUGAAUCUCCCGGCUUAACUGAGAGGGUGCGCGAAAACUGGCUGGCUAGAGUGUGGAGGAGGAAAGUC